This 615-nucleotide long non-coding RNA is filed under the name Homo sapiens (human). RNAcentral describes it as "novel transcript". The record is from RNAcentral. Lineage: Eukaryota; Metazoa; Chordata; Mammalia; Primates; Hominidae.
GAGAACCCCAGUUUUGUUCCAAUAAGAGGCAGAAACCUCUUGGUCUCAGGAAAGAUAGACUCCAUCCCCCAGCCUUGUGAUGAAUUCUAUUUGGGUUGAGACAGUCACAGUAAAUCCAUCCCCUUUGCCUGAUUUCCACUUUCCCAGCUUCCUUCACCACAAGCAAUGCCAUGAGACACUCUUCUGGUCAAUGAGAUUUGAGAAGCCAGGUGGGAGCUCUGGCUGCUACACCACUGCUUACUUGCCUCUCUGCACAGGGUGCUGGAAUGUGGACAUGAUGCCUGGAGCUGCAGCAGCCUUGUUGGGUCAAUAAGACAUCAAGUAGGAGAAACAAAAGCCAACACUGCUAGUAAUAUUCUAUUUCCUGAUUGUUACAUUUGUAACAUGUAACACACAACAUUUUGUGAGAAUUCAAGGAGCUGUGCAUUUUUCUGUUAGUGUGUUAUACCUCACCAAAACAGUUAGGUAAAAAUCUAACACCCUGAGGAUGGCAGAGCAAACCCCUGAAAACAUGGGUGAACUGGUUAACCAGCCUCAAAUACUGUAACUCGGAGCUUCUGAUUAAGAGAAUCAAAAGCCUUUGUUGCUUAAUUACUAGGUUUUCUAAUACUUGCA